GGAUGUGAGGGCGAUCUGGCUGUGACAUCUGUCACCCCACUGAUCGCCAGGGUUGACCCAGGAGAGGACCAGUCUUUGGUCAAGGGUAUACGAGUAGCUGCGCUCCCCUGCUAGAACCUCCAAACAAGCUCUCAAGAAAGUACGCCCUGUCCCACCCUAUCCAGUCUGAUGUUUAUGGUCUCCUUUUUUAAAAAAAAAAAUAUAUUUUAUUGAUUUUUU
RNAcentral lists this small nuclear RNA (219 nucleotides) under Myotis davidii. RNAcentral's name for it is "7SK RNA". It matches the Rfam family "7SK RNA". From Rfam's summary of the family: 7SK was discovered as an abundant small nuclear RNA in the mid-70s but a possible function has only recently been suggested. Two independent studies have found that 7SK RNA binds the CDK9/cyclin T complex (known as elongation factor P-TEFb). P-TEFb activates transcription by phosphorylating the C-terminal domain of RNA polymerase II. Lineage: Eukaryota; Metazoa; Chordata; Mammalia; Chiroptera; Vespertilionidae. The record is from Rfam by way of RNAcentral.